GCCUGCCGUCUCUCUCCCGAGUUCCUUCUCCUCUAGGCUCCCACGCCGCCGCCGCCGCCAAGAGAGCACGCCGCCGCCAGAGGACUCGCCGUCGUCGGGCCCCGCGUGCGGAUCCACAAGGGCCAGACCUAGCUCUCCGCGGUUCGUCGGCUCUGGCGCUCCGCCCUACCAACCCGACGUGCAACAGUGCCGAGGCUUCAAGGCGGCGAGCACCCGCAUCUUCGGCGAGGUUGUAAUCUCCGACGCGUCUCCGCACUUAGGAAUUCUCAGUGAGAAAAGGGAAGCUCUGUGAGAGGGGCUAGGGAAGAAGGAAACGAGCAUCAGUUGAAUCGGGUGGAUCAUAUCUGUAAGGAAAGGAUACCAAACAUGUCAUCUCGAAUUUCUAAGAUAGCAAGGAAGUCUGUGGUUAUUGUGGCCGAUAAGGAUGAUUCUGAUGCCUAUUGUAGUGGUUGUGUCAUGAUUAAGGACACGUCUGUCAGAGUGAUAGCCCCAUUAGGUUUUGUCAAGGGGAGGGAGAGGCGCUUGAAGGUGGUAUUUUUUGACAAGACAGAGUUUGAUGCUGAACUGGUUGCUGUACGAGAUUCAUUUUGUUCACUCAGAACAGUAUUUCACUCAGGCUGUGAGAAGAUUAGUUUGUUUGAAGAUGAGCAUCUUGUUGGACCUCUGUGCACCUUCAUGUUUGUUCCUCAAUCUCGCAUGACUAAUCAGAAAAUGUCUACAUAUGCCACAGUGGAAUCUCUUGAGUCGUAUUUAAAAGUUGAGACAAUUCAGAGAGUCAAUUCCACAAACUAUUUUAUGGUGUCUUGUCCUUAUUUUGGGAAGACUCUUAGUGGGAUUAAUAGGUUGAGUGCUGCACCUGUGUUCACCAUCUUGGGUAAGACCAUGGGCAUUGUUUUGCAAGAUUGUCGUCCUGAGGUACCUGGAGCUAGAUGAAAGUUGUGCUGAAAGCAACAUAUCUUCGUGAGUUGAUGAUGUCACUUGACCCACCGGCGCCAUCAAGGAAUCUAAGAAAGAAGAGAAAGAGAAAGUGUCACUAAGGAAAGAAACUUUUGAGUUUUUUGUACCCAACUAUCCUUGUAUAAUGUAUCCCUUUUGUUAGAUUUGCUUGUUCGCAUAUUUAUGCAACUCUAAUUGUGUUUGCUUGUCGUAUUUUUUA
Long non-coding RNA from Triticum dicoccoides, 1156 nucleotides. RefSeq lists it as uncharacterized. The record is from RefSeq and is a predicted model, not a curated record. Lineage: Eukaryota; Viridiplantae; Streptophyta; Magnoliopsida; Poales; Poaceae. The transcript is spliced from 3 exons.